CGGCCCACCAAGGCGACGAUCAGUAGGGGUUCUGAGAGGAAGGUCCCCCACAUUGGAACUGAGACACGGUCCAAACUCCUACGGGAGGCAGCAGUGAGGAAUAUUGGUCAAUGGACGAGAGUCUGAACCAGCCAAGUAGCGUGCAGGAUGACGGCCCUAUGGGUUGUAAACUGCUUUUAUAAGGGAAUAAAGUGAGUCUCGUGAGACUUUUUGCAUGUACCUUAUGAAUAAGGACCGGCUAAUUCCGUGCCAGCAGCCGCGGUAAUACGGAAGGUCCGGGCGUUAUCCGGAUUUAUUGGGUUUAAAGGGAGCGUAGGCCGGAGAUUAAGCGUGUUGUGAAAUGUAGAUGCUCAACAUUUGCACUGCAGCGCGAACUGGUUUCCUUGAGUACGCACAAAGUGGGCGGAAUUCGUGGUGUAGC
Molecule: ribosomal RNA, 421 nt
Filed under: uncultured bacterium
Lineage: Bacteria
Description: bacterial SSU rRNA
Rfam family: Bacterial small subunit ribosomal RNA
Source: RNAcentral